GACGAACGCUGGCGGCGUGCCUAACACAUGCAAGUCGAACGGGGUCCACGCAGUGGCAACACUGCUGAAGACCUAGUGGCGAACGGGUGAGUAACACGUGAGGAACCUGCCCCGAAGACCGGGAUAACCCUCCGAAAGGAGAGCUAAUACCGGAUGUCCCCACCGAAUCGCAUGAUCUGGUGAGGAAAUGGAUUCCGCUUCGGGAGGCCUCGCGGCCUAUCAGCUUGUUGGUGAGGUAACGGCUCACCAAGGCAUCGACGGGUAGCUGGUCUGAGAGGACGAUCAGCCACACUGGGACUGAGACACGGCCCAGACUCCUACGGGAGGCAGCAGUGGGGAAUCUUAGGCAAUGGACGAAAGUCUGACCUAGCGACGCCGCGUGAGGGAAGAAGGCCUUCGGGUUGUAAACCUCUGUCAGUGGGGGAAGAAGGAAGUAGACGGUACCCAAGAGGAACGCCCUGCUAACUACGUGCCAGCAGCCGGGUAAAAGUGUGUGUA
This 498-nucleotide ribosomal RNA is filed under the name uncultured bacterium. Its description in RNAcentral is "bacterial SSU rRNA". It matches the Rfam family "Bacterial small subunit ribosomal RNA", at positions 28 to 535 of the family's 1533-position model. The record is from RNAcentral.